UACGUAGGUGACGAGCGUUAUCCGGAUUUAUUGGGCGUAAAGCGCACGCAGGCGGCAGAGAAAGUCUGACGUGAAAUCUCCCGGCUUAACUGGGAGCGGUCGUUGGAAACUACUUGGCUUGAGGCGAUGAGAGGGGUGUGGAAUUCCCGGUGUAGUGGUGGAAUGCGUAGAUAUCGGGAGGAACAUCAGUGGCGAAAGCGGCACCCUGGCAUUAUCCUGACGCUCAUGUGCGAAAGCGUGGGGAGCGAACGGG
This 253-nucleotide ribosomal RNA is filed under the name uncultured bacterium. RNAcentral's name for it is "partial 16S ribosomal RNA". It matches the Rfam family "Bacterial small subunit ribosomal RNA", at positions 524 to 776 of the family's 1533-position model. The record is from RNAcentral.